GACUCAGUGGAUCCAAUGGUAAAGUGCUCGUCGCGGAGCCAGAGGGUCCUGGGUUCGAUCCCCAACGGGGUCG
Molecule: transfer RNA, 73 nt
Filed under: Schistosoma japonicum
Lineage: Eukaryota; Metazoa; Platyhelminthes; Trematoda; Strigeidida; Schistosomatidae
Description: tRNA-OTHER
Source: RNAcentral